GUGGGGAAUCUUCCGCAAUGGACGAAAGUCUGACGGAGCGACGCCGCGUGAGUGAAGAAGGCCUUCGGGUCGUAAAGCUCUGUCAUCAGGGACGAACGGCCGGUGGAGUGGAAAGCCACCGGAUUGACGGUACCUGAGAAGGAAGCCAAGGUUAACUACGUGCCAGCAGCCGCGGUAAUACGUAGGUGGCAAGCGUUGUCCGGAAUUAUUGGGCGUAAAGCGCGCGCAGGUGGGAUCUUAAGUCCAUUUUGAAAGUUCGGAGCUCAACUCCGUGAUGGGAUGGAAACUGGGAUUCUUGAGUACCGGAGAGGAAAGCGGAAUUCCCCGUGUAGCGGUGAAAUGCGUAGAUAUGGGGAGGAACACCAGUGGCGAAGGCGGCUUUCUGGACGGUGUCUGACACUGAGGCGCGAAAGCCAGGGGAGCGAACGGGAUUAGAUACCCGAGUAGUCC
This 450-nucleotide ribosomal RNA is filed under the name uncultured bacterium. Its description in RNAcentral is "partial 16S ribosomal RNA". It matches the Rfam family "Bacterial small subunit ribosomal RNA", at positions 354 to 796 of the family's 1533-position model. The record is from RNAcentral.